Molecule: long non-coding RNA, 804 nt
Filed under: Sinocyclocheilus anshuiensis
Lineage: Eukaryota; Metazoa; Chordata; Actinopteri; Cypriniformes; Cyprinidae
Description: lncRNA (ENSSANG00000002276.1)
Source: RNAcentral
UGUGCACAUGCUUCCCGUCAUGCAUUUAUAGGGCGCGACAUGCUGAGAGAACAUAGAGCUGUCAAAAUGUGCAUAACGCAAAACACAUCUUGGAUAACAUUUUACCCUCAAGACCCAGAUGCAGCUGAAAUUAGUGAAGGAGAAGCGUGUAAGUGAAGGCAGAGGCGCGUGACGACUGUAUGAACGCCGUCCUGCUCCUGAACACAACAACAACCCUUCAACAAUUACCAUGAUGUGCACUACUGCUUCUGUCUGGUGGCCAAACAUCCCUUUGAGUGCUCCAUCACCAUAAUCAAUGGCAGGUUGAGCCGGCUGGGGUUUGAAGACCUUUACACAAACACUGUUUGUUUUACUUCUCCACGGCCAUGGAGCUCAGAAGAAAGGCUGCCAUCCAGUUGCCCUGGUCAAGUUCAGCACUUCUGAUCAAUCCUUCAAGGACAGUGGGAGAUUGGAUGAUGGCCGAGACACACUUUCUUCCGGAGGCUUGAGAAUUUCAGUGGAAGUGCUUUUUCUUCUUUUGUUCCUGGCAUUACCACAGAAUUGAUCUGAAAAAUGCACCAAUUAUUGGCAGGGAGAUGAUCUCAGUUUUUCACUCGGCAUCAGAAACUGAAAAUAGCACAAAACCUUAGUGCUGGACUGACUGAAAAUUCUCAGUCAUACAUAAUAAACAUUUUUCAGCAGGAAAAAGAACAAUAUACUGUUGUCAAUUUAUCAUACUAGUUGGAAUUAGCUUUGACAUGUUUCAAACAGCCCAGUGAUAUGGAGAGUUGAAUGCAUGUAAUCUAAUCUGCAAAACAACAUGGC